CUAGUUUCUUAGUGUCAGACUAUCUUUCUGUUUCUGUUCCCGAAAUGGUGUCUAUGUACGUGUACAUGUGUAAGUUUAUGUACUGUACGGUGGGGAUGUGUCCGGUUGUUUUCGUAGCCUAGGGUGAGGGUCACUGGGUGUGUGUCUAGUUCUCUACGUGUGUGUGUGUUUAUGUUUCAGGGUCAAGUAGACAGGGUGUCUGUUAAUGGCUUUAGUCCUCAACGGCUGAAACGCCACAUGGUGAUGACGUUCAAAUACUCCACGUUAUCGCCACUCCAUAGAGAUGUCGUUGUUAAGGGACAAAGACGUGGAGGUGGCGGAGGAGUUGAAACACCUGGGCGUUGUACUUGACCACAAGCUAAGAUGGGGGAAGUGUACGGAGCAGACGUAUACGAAAGGACAGCAAAGGCUCUACUUUUGAAGGUCGUUUGAUGGAAGAAUAACAAAGAGAUAAUCCAGUCGACGAAUUGGUGAUUAUAAGAAUACGGCUGCUGGAGCAACCGGUGAUAUUACAACCCAAGUAUGUGGAUCCCGCGGAAACUGAGAGAGGUAUAAUGGAGUUAGAGAAGGAAAUAAAGUCGAGAAAAAUGAAUAAGGUGAGUCAAAAGAAAAAUACAAGAUGUUUUAAUUGUAACAAAAUUGGACAUUUCGCCCGGGAGUGUAACACUCCACAAAAAAAUCGUCAACAGGUUGUAAUUUAAUAACUCUCUGAUGCAGGCACUUACACCCUCGGACUACAAAGGACCGUGUCAGACACGAUGGGUGUGUUUUCUAUUAAGGUACUGCCAAAACCAGAGGUCCCAGACGAACCAGGGCCAGACACACUCCUCUACCACCCCUGGACCGAACCUGCUACUACUGGGUUAAAAAUCCCAUUCAGGUAAUUAAUGUUAGACUAUUCAACUAUUGAUCAAUUAGGCACUGAGACUGGUUUUGAUGGUAGGGACAAUUUGUGGGUGUCUUAAACAGAAUAGACUUGCUUAGGAUAUGCUUCUUGCUAGUCAGGGGGGCGUCUGCAAGAUGUUCGGUGAACAAUGUUGUACGUAUAUCCCUAAUAACACCAGUCCAGAUGGUAGUAUAUCUAAGGUCCUUAAUGGGCUUGAUCUGUUGAGAUGAGGACCAUGGCGGGAGUGGAGGAGUCUGUUGUCUUGGCCUGGUUUGGUAAGUAUACUGGUAUGGUGGUUACUGGAUUUCUGACCCUAAUUCUUGUAUUAUCGUUAUUGAUGUGUUGUGCUGCUUGCAUCAUACCGUGUUUUAAGAAGUCUGUUACAGAUGUGGUGAAGGCUUCAGGCAUGAUGCCUUUGCUUGAUGCUCCAGUUGGAGAUACUGAAGCAUGCUUUCAGAGACUGACUGAGGAUGACCCAUGUAUGUUUGUUCUCCCUGUCGUGAAGGGUGGCAUGGUGCCCACCUGGUGCAGGAUAGGAAUAGCUGAGAGGACCAGAUGGGUUAUAAGAAUGCUUUGUUCUGCUUUACUCUGUUUUCCAUGACCAAAGUUUUAUUCCACACUUUGCAACACAUAUUAAAUCCAUGUUAUUGUCAGAUAGAAUACUGAGGGUCCCCAAGGAGAGGGCUUGUUAGUGUAGGAAGGAUUUGUAAUAUGGUUAGCAUUUAUUAGAUUAUACGUUUUUAAAUAGUAUUACAUUUAACAGGAAUAUAGGACAUCUAUGAUGAUUUAGGAUUAUUGUUAGGAUGAAGAUAGAUUGAUUAAGGAAAUGUAAGGACUUUAGAGAAAAGCCGCUCAUAGACAUGUUCUUUCUAAAAGAAAAUCCAUGAGUUUAGAUAAAGGAUGGGUAAAUAGUGUUCUAGAAUAGGAUGUGACCUACGGGAUAAUUAACUAAUACAUUUUUUUGAGCUAAUAAACAGAACGAAUAAGAAACUGUUUUAUUAACCAAACCUGUAUGUCCAAGAGUUUAUGCACUACAGGUGAAAUCACUCAAUCCAGUCCCAUAGGCCUGGUGGGGGGACCAUACCAAGGGCUCCUGGUGACAGCUAGCUGAAAGAGCUACCCGGAUUCAUAUCCCAUGGGGAGAGAGGGCUAUAUGAAUCCACUCACCCAGUAUGGGAAAAGGUAGAGUGGAGUGGCAUAAGGAAAUGCUUAACUCUUUAAAUAGAAAUGAAGGAGGGUCAAGGGUUGUGGUAGGGAGAUGACCAGGUCUUGGUCGACACCCUAGUACGGUUCUGGGUAGAGGAGUGUGGAUCGGUAUGGUAAAGCUGUUCAUGAAAGCAGGAAUGCCAGAUAAUGACAGUUGUAUUGAUUUGCACUAUUUAUAUCCCCAGGAACCAAGUUAGUACAGAGAAUAUGACCACUGACGAGACCAUGUCUGAAUUGACAGGCUGGUUGAACUCUGGGGAUUUCAAUAAAAUAAAAUGGGCCAGUGUUGACACCUAGUGGUUGUGUGGGUCAUGUGCGCAGACAACAGGACAUGAAGUUAUCUAAAAGGGAAAAGAGAAACACUUCAUCUGGGUCAUUUGAUGACAAGGUAUACAUUGAUAACAUUGGGGUUCCAGGAGAGGUGCCAGAUGAGUCAAAGCAAGAAAUCAGAUCCUAGCAGGAUUAGAGUUAAGCAUUUCCGGGGUUCUACUCUCACAAGAGCGUGGACUGGAUUAAUUAUAGUUAUGAUAAUCAACAGCGCUUUAGCAGGAAUACCAAUGGUGUUAUUAAAGGUUUUGUAGAACAGACUGAAGCAACCAGCUGGAAGACCUGACAGAAUAGAAUUGCAUUAGAUAAAAGGGGGAAGUGGGCGUGAUAAUCAGGACCAUGACCAUGUCUUACAUCCCGGGGUAACGCAGCUCCUCAGCUGGUUUGACCACCCUGGCUCACGGGUUGGCAGAAAACUCUGGGGUGAAUACUUCCCUGACUAAUUGGUUUGAUAGUACGUUUGGAAAAUUGAAUUUUUUUAUAAUCACUGUGUUAUGGGCGGCAUCCACCUGCAUGACUGUUUUAAUUUUAUGCGGCUGUUGUCUAAUUCCCUGUGUGCGAGGCCUUGUUUCCAGGGCUCUGGAGAGAUCAAUGACACUACAGAUGGUGCAUUAUGGGCCGAUUCCAGGUUCUGACGUGUGGAGGACUGAAGGCAUGUCUACAGAGGAAGUAGACGAAUCUGGAUCUGUCAUUUGUGGGGAAUUUAUGUUUGAUGAGAAUAGUGUUGAGAUGAAGGGGAAGAAUUUGUUUCAAUGAUUAAACUGUUUUUUUAAUAAAGAUUGUAAAAAAAAAAUCCUGAAAGAGGAGUUAUGAUUCUGAUGUAGGUUUAAAAACAGUUGGAGUUAAGGUUAGAUUUGAUUGAUGGUGGGUGAAGAGUCGGGUAAACAUUUAUAAUAAUAUUUUUAUUUUGUAGAUUUGAAUGUAUAAUAUUUGAUCAAAGGGAGGAUUGAUAGAGGAAAUUAUGGUUGAAAUGACUAAUUAUGUAUACAUUCCAAUCAGAACUGACUAGUCCAAAUGCUAUAAUGUACUUUACAUGUGAAUUUUCUCUCUUGCUCCCUUUCCCAAUUGUAUAUAAUGUAGUCAGGAGUUUAGUAACAAUGAAGGUCUGUUCCUUAGUUCAUUCAGUUGUACAAAUCUCCAGGUGGUGGGAACGGGCCAUCUCCAGAUUGUCUAGAAUGUUGAUUUAUACUGACUGGCCUUGACUUCGUGCUGAUAACGCGAAGGCACAAGAGCUAGGGGGCCCCUCUGCUUGUGAAAUAGAACGUUUGGAAAACGCUGACGUCAUUUUCAGUUUAUAACCUGUGGAAAUGUGUGUAUGCAUUUAGUACUCUCUUGUAAUAAACACUGUUUACCUUUGG
Oncorhynchus keta (chum salmon) is the source of this 3777-nucleotide long non-coding RNA. RefSeq lists it as uncharacterized. The record is from RefSeq and is a predicted model, not a curated record. The transcript has 3 exons. Lineage: Eukaryota; Metazoa; Chordata; Actinopteri; Salmoniformes; Salmonidae.